Molecule: ribosomal RNA, 371 nt
Filed under: uncultured bacterium
Lineage: Bacteria
Description: bacterial SSU rRNA
Rfam family: Bacterial small subunit ribosomal RNA
Source: RNAcentral
AGAGGGGGCAAGCGUUAUUCGGAAUUAUUGGGCGUAAAGGGCGCGUAGGCGGCUUGGCAAGUGGAAGGUGAAAUCCCUCGGCUUAACCGAGGAACUGCCCUCCAAACUGCUUGGCUUGAGACCGGGAGAGGUGAGUGGAAUUCCCAGUGUAGCGGUGAAAUGCGUAGAUAUUGGGAGGAACACCAGUGGCGAAGGCGGCUCACUGGACCGGUACUGACGCUGAUGCGCGAAAGCGUGGGGAGCAAACGGGAUUAGAUACCCCGGUAGUCCACGCCGUAAACGAUGAGUGCUUGGUGUAGCGGGUAUCGACCCCUGCUGUGCCGAAGUCAACACAUUAAGCACUCCGCCUGGGGAGUACGGUCGCAAGGCUG